AGAAAAAACCACUGAGAUGAAAACUCUGAUAUAUCAUGAUUUGAAGUUUUCUAUCUUAAGGUAAAGUUUUUUAUGGUCCCUUAUGUGGGAGGAAGAUAGAAUAUUUUCAAUUACUAAAGUUGAAUUCAAAGUUACCGGACUGGACCGCAGGAGUCAGUUCUGGGAUAAGAGGAAUUCUGAAGGCAGGAACGGUGUCUCCUGCAGGGCCUUGGAAAUCUCCAGGAAUUCUGCUCUUCUCUGCUACCUCUGCUUUUCCCUCUACUGAGGAAAUGAGGCCGCUUCCCCAGAGGGAGCUUGCAUGGCUCGUAACUUAGUGUGUGUUUUAUUCCAAAGCACAUCCCAGAACCACAGACCUACAGAACUACAGACCCCCGAAAUAAAAAAGGAUAAGAGCAUAAAACUGCCCCCUCUUUCAUUGUGUGUCUGAUGACCAGAGCUGUCACAGCUGAACAGCUGCUCAGAUGUCUCAUCGUUUACAAAGCACCGCUGAAGGCUUGAGGGGGAAAUAUUCUUUCAUUGAAGACAAAACUCCCUUUGAUUUCUGCUGGAGCUGUAUUUCAGGCUUACAAUCUGAUGGUGCACUCAGUUGUGUCAGAAAACAGGUCAGUCCAUCCAGACCCAUCUUCAGAAACAUUCCUCAGCAACGUGACUGGGUUAAAUUUAGCUCCACCGAUUUUGCUGAAAUUUCCUUGAAUGCCUUGAAUUCCUGUGCUGGAAUUGGAUGAUAAACUGUGGGGGUUGCUGGGGCUGAAUAACCUUUGGUGCUGUCUUCCCUCCUCAGCUCUCCCAUCCCCUCAUCAUGUUCUGGGAGCGAGGCAGUGGUUUUUAACCUACUCAAAGUGUCCCUGAGGCCAAAGCCAGGAUGUGUUUGUGUGACAGGGUGCCCCUUAGGACAGCAGACUUUAAGGGAUGGCAGGUCUCUGUUUUUGGCAGUGCUGCACAUCUGGGCCAGCUCAGGAGUGACUCUCCUGCUCUUGGAGGCCACUGCUCCUGCCACAGCUGGCUGUGGGAGAAAUGGUGUCCACAGAGCUGUCCCAGUUCCAUCCUAGGACUAACAUCCCUUCCUGCCCACGUGUGUGUGGGGCAUUCCUCAUCCCUGGGCAGGGUUUGUGUGUCUCUGGGAGCCCCCAUCUGUUCUGUGUAAGUCCUGAGUACCCCCUGAGUGUUUGCUGGUGCUCAGGAAGGAGGCACAUCAGCCAGAAGUUGUUUUGCUCCACUGCCACCCCAUCAGCUGCCCUGAUGUCACCACACAGUCCCCAGGCUUUCAGCAGGUAGAGCAAAGGUGUGAGACCACAGCCCAGAGCUCAGCAGUGUCACCAUGGCCCAGAACUCAGCAGUGUCACCACAGCCCAGAGCUCAGCAGUGUCACCAUGGCCCAGAGCUCAGCAGUGUCACCAUGGCCCAAGACUCAGCAGUGUCACCAUGGCCCAGGACUGAGCAGUGUCACCAUGGCCCAGGACUCAGCAGUGUCACCAUGGCCCAGGACUCAGCAGUGUCACCAUGGCCCAGGACUCAGCAGUGUCACCAUGGCCCAGAGCUCAGCAGUGUCACCAUGGCCCAGGACUCAGCAGUGUCACCAUGGCCCAGAGCUCAGCAGUGUCACCAUGGCCCAGGACUCAGCAGUGUCACCACAGCCCAGAGCUCAGCAGUGUCACCAUGGCCCAGAGCUCAGCAGUGUCACCAUGGCCCAGGACUCAGCAGUGUCACCACAGCCCAGAGCUCAGCAGUGUGACCAUGGCCCAGAACUCAGCAGUGUCACCACAGCCCAGAGCUCAGCAGUGUGGCUGCCUGAGGUGACAGCAGUGGCUCAGCUUCUGGGCAGUGGGGAAGGGACAGUGGCCACAGGGACACCAGUGAAGAAGUGAAGAGAUAUUUGGAUCUUUGUAAAACUUCAGUGGAGGGGCUUGAAACGCUGCAUUUAAAUGCAAGAAAAUCUGACAUACAGAAGGAAAAAGCCAAGCCCAAACUCUGUGCUGAAGGAGACACUGGAGGGUGCUUUCUUUAGAGGCAAUAACCCUUGGCAUUGAUAGGGCACACCAGGGAAUCACACAGAACUUUGCUGAUCUUCAGAACAACCCUCUGAGCAAGUAGCAGAGAAAUGGGAAACAGGAGCUCUAAGGGACAAGUGUCCUUGUACUCCUGGUUCAGUGAUGCCAGGGAAAGAAGUGGGGGGAACAAUCCACUACAAAACCCAACGUCUGGUCUUUUUGUCUGAGCCUUACCUAGGGAUGACGUGGAUAUGUGAACAGCAUCUUUUCCCAUAAAGGGCAAUUCCUGAUGUCAUGAACAGGCCAAAUCAGCUGUGCUCCAUCACUGUCCCAGGGACUCAACAACUGCUGGGUCAUACCUGGGAGGGAUAACAACUGUGGGCUCAAAGCCCUGGCCUUCAGGAGGAGAUGGGGGUACACCUGAGGAUGCACUACUGGAGAAUAUCAAAGAAUAAGUGACCAAAACUAUAGAAGAGACAACAAAUCCAAGCAGCAAAGUCCUGAUGGCUGGGUGAAACAGGAGUGGGGAGUGUGCAGUGAGGGCAUCCUGCUGGAGCUGUUCUGGUGGCCACAGCCACACCAGACGAGGUCCCCAGUGCCAGCAAACACCAGCCUGGGGUGGGCAGACAGAGUUAUCCUUGCCACAGCAGCUGUCCACUCAGAGAUACCUGGAAAGUGCUGCUGCAGGAAGAGGUGAGUGCAGCUGAGCUGCCUCCUCACAUCUGGGGCUCUGCUGGGUGAGUGCUGUAUGGCUGGAACAAAGAAAACGUGAGAGCAGAGCCCCAGGGAAUGUCUCAUCUGUGUCUCAGGAGGUACAGCUUCUGCUGGCUGCGGGAACAACUCACUCCUGGUGGCACUGAGGUGACAGCCCCCACGCCCACCCAGCCUCCCAGACAACAAGGGACAAGGUGCACCUCUCACAGGAAAGAAAUUUCCUGUAAUAAAUACAG
This is a non-coding RNA of Cyanistes caeruleus (blue tit), 2938 nucleotides long. The record is from RefSeq and is a predicted model, not a curated record. Lineage: Eukaryota; Metazoa; Chordata; Aves; Passeriformes; Paridae.